CUCAGGAAUGCAAGUCACGAGUCCAAACUUCGUGUCCAACCUCCCACAAGAAAUGAUCCUUUUAUAGGGAACCCGAUAUGUCUCAAUCUGCACUUCACUCAAAGCCUCUGGAUAUAGGGCACUGGUCCCUGCUCAAAAAUAACUCCGCUGAAACGUCUUUCCACCUAAAAAAUCCCCAUGAAUGACUCCCAGGGAAGAAAUGUAUCUCCCAUAAUUAAAGGCGGCUGCGCUCUGAGGCGAAUGAAGCCUGGAGGAAAAGAAGAGAAAGGGGAGGAAAGAAAAAAAAAGAAGGAGCUUCGGGUGCGUGGGGAGAACGUCAGCUCAUGAGGAGCAGAGAAGAGGAGAGAUUAAGGAGCAGAGCCUAACUCCGAGAAAAGAACCGAGCAGGACGGGGAGAGGCCUUUCCUCUGCCUUCCUCUCCUUCCCCUUGCUGCCGGGACAAACUUCCACCAGGAUUAUGCAAAAUCGCGCCCUAAGAGCUCCUGGCCGAUGCGACACCUUUUCCUCCCUGUGCCACGCCGUCCACACACUCAGCAUAUGGGAAGCUCGGCGGGCCCUGCGCCUAUAGGAUCCGGCACCACAUUAGUUUCCAGCAAUAUUUACAGCUCUGCUUUUAAUACACACCAGAUGGUUUGCGACGAUGCUGCCCCAGCCAGUGAGAUCUUGGGGUUUUAUUCAACAGCGUUUUGUUACAAUUAUGCUCCAUGCUCAGACCAAUUUUAUUGGUGACCUUUGUUUUUUUCCCGUAUCUGCGAUAUUUUAUGUUAAAAAAAAUCCCCAAAACCUAACUUCUCUUCAGCCUCUUGGCACAGGGGCAGGAUGGAGAGGAAGGCAGGAGCAGUGGCAGACAGCUCUCCUCAUCCUCAAUAACGAGAUGCUCCUGCUGUGUGUAUACAUGCUUGCACAGAUAAAUAAUACAUAUGCAUAUUUAUUAAUUAUAUUUGAUCAAUAACGCUCAUAUUUGUUAAACCUCAAUUGAGUGCACUCGCCUGCGCAAUAACAAACAUCACAGGGCAAUAAAUAUUGCAUACAGUUAAUUAUUAUGCCAGUGCAUUAUGCCUGGCUCUUCCUAUGUACUCAAGACCCCUCGUAAAACUCCUCACAAACAUAAACAUCUCUCGCAGAUAUUUUGCUGUGAAAAGGAAAAAACUCAGCCCCUUGAAGUCUCUGGCAAUUCUUAAAUAUUUACAGGAGGAAACUGCGGCUAAUAUAUUCCUGCGAUCUAAACACUGUGCUUUUAAGAGAGGAGAGAGAGGGAGAGAGAGUGCAAUCCUUGUCUAGAAAACAUUCCAAGGCUUUUAUUCCACUGCCCGGGAUAUGCUAUCAGAAAGCUACAUCCAGGGUCGCAUUCGUUUUUCUCCUGGA
Molecule: long non-coding RNA, 1365 nt
Organism: Ficedula albicollis (Collared flycatcher)
Lineage: Eukaryota; Metazoa; Chordata; Aves; Passeriformes; Muscicapidae
Exons: 3
Source: RefSeq, a predicted model, not a curated record